This 508-nucleotide ribosomal RNA is filed under the name uncultured bacterium. RNAcentral describes it as "partial 16S ribosomal RNA". It matches the Rfam family "Bacterial small subunit ribosomal RNA", at positions 28 to 507 of the family's 1533-position model. The record is from RNAcentral.
GACGAACGCUGGCGGCGUGCUUAACACAUGCAAGUCGAACGGGCCUUGUCCCCUUUUUUUUUGGGGGUGGGGUUAGUGGCGAACGGGUGAGUAACACGUGAGUAACCUGCCCCUCACUUCUGGAUAACCGCUUGAAAGGGUGGCUAAUACGGGGUGUUCUGGCCUGCUCGCAUGGGUGGGUUUGGAAAGAUUCGACCGGUUUUGGUUGUUUUGGUGGGGGAUGGGCUCGCGGCCUAUCAGCUUGUUGGUGGGGUGAUGGCCUGCCAAGGCUUUGACGGGUAGCCGGCCUGAGAGGGUGGGCGGUCACACUGGGGGUGAGACACGGCCCAGACUCCUACGGGAGGCAGCAGUGGGGAAUAUUGCACAAUGGGCGCAAGCCUGAUGCAGCGACGCCGCGUGAGGGAUGGAGGCCUUCGGGUUGUGAACCUCUUUCGCCAGUGAAGAAGGUCCUGCUCUUUGUGGUGGGGUUGACGGUAGCUGGGUUAAUGAAGCGCCGGCUAACUACGUG